AAUGGCUCAUUAAAUCAGUUAUCGUUUAUUUGAUAGUACCUUUUACUACAUGGAUAUCCGUGGUAAUUCUAGAGCUAAUACAUGCUAAAAACCCCGACUUUUGGAGGGGUGUAUUUAUUAGAUAAAAAACCAAUGCCCCUCGGGGCUCCUUGGUGAUUCAUGAUAACUCAACGGAUCGCAUGGCCUUGCGCCGGCGACGGUUCAUUCAAAUUUCUGCCCUAUCAACUUUCGAUGGUAAGGUAUUGGCUUACCAUGGUUUCAACGGGUAACGGGGAAUUAGGGUUCGAUUCCGGAGAGGGAGCCUGAGAAACGGCUACCACAUCCAAGGAAGGCAGCAGGCGCGCAAAUUACCCAAUCCCGACACGGGGAGGUAGUGACAAUAAAUACUGAUACAGGGCUCUUUUGGGUCUUGUAAUCGGAAUGAGUACAAUUUAAACCCCUUAACGAGGAACAAUUGGAGGGCAAGUCUGGUGCCAGCAGCCGCGGUAAUUCCAGCUCCAAUAGCGUAUAUUAAAGUUGUUGCAGUUAAAAAGCUCGUAGUUGAACCUUGGGCCUGGCUGGCCGGUCCGCCUCACCGCGUGUACUGGUCCGGCCGGGCCUUUCCUUCUGGAGAGCCGCAUGCCCUUCACUGGGUGUGUCGGGGAACCAGGACUUUUACUUUGAAAAAAUUAGAGUGUUCAAAGCAGGCCUUUGCUCGAAUACGUUAGCAUGGAAUAAUAGAAUAGGACGUGCGGUCCUAUUUUGUUGGUUUCUAGGACCGCCGUAAUGAUUAAUAGGGAUAGUCGGGGGCAUCAGUAUUCAAUUGUCAGAGGUGAAAUUCUUGGAUUUAUUGAAGACUAACUACUGCGAAAGCAUUUGCCAAGGAUGUUUUCAUUAAUCAGUGAACGAAAGUUAGGGGAUCGAAGACGAUCAGAUACCGUCGUAGUCUUAACCGUAAACUAUGCCGACUAGGGAUCGGGCGAUGUUUCUAUCUUGACUCGCUCGGCACCU
This 990-nucleotide ribosomal RNA is filed under the name Polyplosphaeria fusca. RNAcentral's name for it is "SSU rRNA". It matches the Rfam family "Eukaryotic small subunit ribosomal RNA", at positions 92 to 1088 of the family's 1831-position model. Lineage: Eukaryota; Fungi; Ascomycota; Dothideomycetes; Pleosporales; Tetraplosphaeriaceae. The record is from RNAcentral.